GGGGGUAUAUCUCAGCGGUAGAGCGUGUGCUUAGCAUGUACGUGGUCCUGGGUUCAAUUCCCAGUUCCUCCA
RNAcentral lists this transfer RNA (72 nucleotides) under Camelus bactrianus (Bactrian camel). It matches the Rfam family "tRNA". From Rfam's summary of the family: Transfer RNA (tRNA) molecules are approximately 80 nucleotides in length. RNAcentral also lists the same sequence under 1 other name. Lineage: Eukaryota; Metazoa; Chordata; Mammalia; Artiodactyla; Camelidae. The record is from Rfam by way of RNAcentral.